This is a long non-coding RNA of Clupea harengus (Atlantic herring), 2194 nucleotides long. The record is from Ensembl. Lineage: Eukaryota; Metazoa; Chordata; Actinopteri; Clupeiformes; Clupeidae.
UGUUUAAUGCGUAAUUUUGUCAUCCGCUUUCCAUGCGCAUUUGGUUUAAGUAUUGCUAAUUUCCUAGCGCUUUGACUCCUAGCGCUUUGACUGCCCUUCUGUAUCAGUUCUUCAAUGUUGGGCACUCUCUUGCCCCAAGAAUCAGAGAAGCACCAAAGGUCUCAGGUGAUGGCAAUAGUGACCAGCUGCAGUCACCACAGCUCACCACAUACGCUCCUCCAUCACGGCUGACCCCUGGAGAGCACUAACUGGCCCCUCCUAAGGGCCCCUCCCCUCCUCAUUACAGAAAUUCAGACUGAGGAUUUGCCAGGUCUGCACACUGAAGCCCUGGUCUCUCUAAUGGCACCUUGCAUAGGCAUUCCCACAUGACCAGAUUCCUGCGAGAGUGCUUUAAACGUGACUGAUCUGUCAGUCUUCUUCCUGUUUGCUUUUCUGAGUAAAGUAACCACUGUCCUCAGCUGCCUAGAAACUCAGAGCUCCCUCUGAGUUUAUUCAUUUGCCAUAAUGGUGUGUUGAAAAUAUUGGGGUAACAACUAUCUUGGAUGGAUGGUUCCCUGCAAUGCCACCAUCGCCAUAACAUAUUCCUUAUGACUAUUGUAGUAGUAAAACACACACUAGUAGUCAAACUAUACUGCAUGAAAAGUUGACUGACAUUUGUGGAAAGUCAUUGCGUAUGUGGGUGUAACAUACAAAAGCAUCAAAGACUAUUCUCUCUCAGUCUCUCUGCUCAUCCCAUGUCGGCCGUAGAGAACUAUGUGUUGGCUCUCACUGGUGUGAGCUGCAUGGAGACUAUGACUGACAGCUGCAUCCGGCCAGCCAGGUUUUGUCAAAUAUGGGGCUGGCAAGCAAUCCGACACCCUAUUAGAAAGGGACAAACAGUAUACCUCGAGGAACGCGUGCCUUUCAUCCUGCUGUCUUUGGAGUUGAUGCCCCGUCUUCAAUGCAGGUAUCAUUCAUACAUUUAAGGAGACCAUAAAUAGCUCCGUCUCCGUUUACAAGCCAACUGAUUAAAUCAUGCAUGAUAGCAGCUGUGGAGAACCUCUCAGAUACAUAUCGCAGAUGAUUUAAUAUCUGAUAUAGUGUUUCAUUGGCAUUGAGCUUCUUAUUGGCUACACCAACUCUCGGUCGACCUGAAGUUAAGUGCUUAUCAACAACGAGUGAUGAAGUGUUAAAAAAAGAGAUCAGAGGCUGGCUAUGAAAAGAUGAACAACCACUGGUACAUGUUAAAACAUUUGACACUUGAAAUGCUAUUAUUUUCAUGCAUGACUGGAAGGAGGCCAAAAGUAAUUUCUUUCUAAUGUACAUGACUGAUUCUGUAUUUGUUGAGAAAUACAAUAUACAAGAUUAGUACCUAAAACAAUCACCAAUAAUUACAUUUUUUCUGUAAUUUAAAGAUUUCCAUGUAUGGAUCAACAAAGCACCCUUGUAGUCCAAUAGUCCAAUAUGGUUGAUUUAAAGUUGGAAGAAUUGAAUUGGAAGUAUGAAUUUGACUUAUAACUGGUUAAUACUUCUGCUUUUUAGUUCAAUUUACUUUUGUGUAUAAGCGGUUUGAGGACCGGUAUGCAUAUCACUAAGUGGACUGGAGUCAUUCCACUGAGCACAAGGACAAAUGUUUAUAUGGUCUGGUCUUGAAGGCCAGGCUUUUGACAUUUGCUCCCUGGGCAGGUGGUCUGAGGCCAAGGCCUUUUCCUUAGUGCUGUCUGCUAAGCCGUUUAGUCAAAUACAUUUUUUUUGUCAGAUAUUGCUUUGAGAUGGUUUGUAUUUUGAUGAUAUAGUUGUUCAUCUUGAUGAAAGUCAUAUCCUGCUGUACAAAAUAAAUGUGGAUAUACUUAGGGUAGCAACUGCCACAAACUUAGAUGUCAACACACGGAAACGUGUGAAAACAUUGUUGGUAGCUAGGUCAUUUUAAAAUCACAUUUCUUGCAUACCCUAUGCUGCAAGUUAUAGCCUUCAACUAAGCAAGAUUUAAAAACAAUGCCACCAUGAGACGAGACAAAUCCAAUAAAUCACUGUCAACAUCAGCAAAAAUGUGGUUUGGGCAAACAGAACUUCCCCAGGGAAGUGAACUCACCCUGCUUGAAAUGUCUAGUAUUCAGUGUCACUUUAUAUCAAACAAACCCAGAAACGGCUUUGUCCACUAAUACAUAUGUUUGAUUGCAUCCCCGUAGAAAUAGAACAAAUUGACUGACAACCA